AUUAAUUAACAAGCUCAAGCAAGUACGAUGGGUCUGAAGGCCCCAGCUCGGUGUGCUCGUGGCCAUCAUGGGAAUAGGUUUACGAAGCAGAUCUUCUGGCUUUCUGGGAAGAGUCGAAUUGGAGGUCAUUGGACAUAUGCUUGGGGAGUUUGUAUAUAAUUACUGUUCGUGUCGAAGCUGUGUUUGCGAUGCUGAAGAGUGAUAGGGGUUAGUGUCGAAGUGGUCGAUCACGACUUCAAGCCUAACAUGCUCAAUUUGCUUAAUCAGACUAUACGGCUGGUUAGAGCUACCUAUGCAAAUGGUGUAAACACUGUACUUAUACAGGUAUGUAUAGUUGGAACCUGUGAUGUCAACUUUUGUAUUUUAUGGCUACUUAUAGAAAUUAUGUA
This is a long non-coding RNA of Quercus lobata, 389 nucleotides long. RefSeq lists it as uncharacterized. The record is from RefSeq and is a predicted model, not a curated record. Lineage: Eukaryota; Viridiplantae; Streptophyta; Magnoliopsida; Fagales; Fagaceae. The transcript has 3 exons.